This 488-nucleotide long non-coding RNA is filed under the name Olea europaea subsp. europaea. Lineage: Eukaryota; Viridiplantae; Streptophyta; Magnoliopsida; Lamiales; Oleaceae. The record is from RNAcentral.
GAAUAAUAUAACCAUGGCUCCAUCCAAGAACUCUCUUGUUUAUCUCUUAUAUUUUUAGUGCUCGUUCUUUGAAAACAAUUUUCUUCUCUAGGAUACAUACACAAACCAACAAUAUAUUCACUUAGCAAGUGAAGAAAACAAGAAGAGAGGAAUGACUAAGAAUCAAGAUAUAGAGAAAGCUGAAAACAGUUUGCAAGAAGAAAUUAAAGUUCCGCUUAUUUCACAAGAAAAGAGAGCAGAAAAUGUCGAAAACUGCAAUGGAAGUGAUAAGCAGGUCAAGGAGGAAAGAUGCAUGGUUUAUUUCAGUACAUUUGUUGCAGUUUGUGCCUCUUAUAUAUUUGGAUCUUGUGUAAGAAAUAAAUACUUUUUUUUUUUUUCGAGUUUCUUAUAAGUUCAUAUGUUUGUUACUUAUUCACAGAAGCCAAAAGUUGCUGUAUUAUUGUGGAAAAGUACUUUAUUAGUCUUUUUACAUUUUUCAGGCAGGGUAU